GACGAACGCUGGCGGCGUGCUUAACACAUGCAAGUCGAACGGAAAGGCCCUGCUUUUGUGGGGUGCUCGAGUGGCGAACGGGUGAGUAACACGUGAGUAACCUGCCCUUGACUUUGGGAUAACUUCAGGAAACUGGGGCUAAUACCGGAUAGGAGCUCCUGCUGCAUGGUGGGGGUUGGAAAGUUUCGGCGGUUGGGGAUGGACUCGCGGCUUAUCAGCUUGUUGGUGGGGUAGUGGCUUACCAAGGCUUUGACGGGUAGCCGGCCUGAGAGGGUGACCGGCCACAUUGGGACUGAGAUACGGCCCAGACUCCUACGGGAGGCAGCAGUGGGGAAUAUUGCACAAUGGGCGGAAGCCUGAUGCAGCAACGCCGCGUGCGGGAUGACGGCCUUCGGGUUGUAAACCGCUUUCGCCUGUGACGAAGCGUGAGUGACGGUAAUGGGUAAAGAAGCACCGGCUAACUACGUGCCAGCAGCCGCGGUGAUACGUAGGGUGCGAGCGUUGUCCGGAUUUAUUGGGCGUAAAGGGCUCGUAGGUGGUUGAUCGCGUCGGAAGUGUAAUCUUGGGGCUUAACCCUGAGCGUGCUUUCGAUACGGGUUGACUUGAGGAAGGUAGGGGAGAAUGGAAUUCCUGGUGGAGCGGUGGAAUGCGCAGAUAUCAGGAGGAACACCAGUGGCGAAGGCGGUUCUCUGGGCCUUUCCUGACGCUGAGGAGCGAAAGCGUGGGGAGCGAACAGGCUUAGAUACCCUGGUAGUCCACGCUGUAAACGGUGGGUACUAGGUGUGGGGUCCAUUCCACGGGUUCCGUGCCGUAGCUAACGCUUUAAGUACCCCGCCUGGGGAGUACGGCCGCAAGGCUAAAACUCAAAGGAAUUGACGGGGCCCCGCACAAGCGGCGGAGCAUGCGGAUUAAUUCGAUGCAACGCGUAGAACCUUACCUGGGUUUGACAUGGGUCGGGAGUGCUCAGAGAUGGGUGUGCCUCUUUUGGGGUCGGUUCACAGGUGGUGCAUGGCUGUCGUCAGCUCGUGUCGUGAGAUGUUGGGUUAAGUCCCGCAACGAGCGCAACCCUUGUUCACUGUUGCCAGCACGUUAUGGUGGGGACUCAGUGUAGACCGCCGGGGUCAACUCGGAGGAAGGUGGGGAUGACGUCAAGUCAUCAUGCCCCUUAUGUCCAGGGCUUCACGCAUGCUACAAUGGCUGGUACAGAGAGUGGCGAGCCUGUGAGGGUGAGCGAAUCUCGGAAAGCCGGUCUCAGUUCGGAUUGGGGUCUGCAACUCGACCUCAUGAAGUCGGAGUCGCUAGUAAUCGCAGAUCAGCAACGCUGCGGUGAAUACGUUCCCGGG
This 1343-nucleotide ribosomal RNA is filed under the name uncultured bacterium. RNAcentral's name for it is "16S ribosomal RNA". It matches the Rfam family "Bacterial small subunit ribosomal RNA", at positions 28 to 1378 of the family's 1533-position model. The record is from RNAcentral.